UUCGAGGCGAAUUGCAAAUUUAGUUGGCACCAUUACAGAACGAAAGAAAUGCUAGAUAUGCACAGCGUCAGAAUGUGUGAAUAAACGACAAGAUCACUGUGCUACUGAAUAUACAUAACAGCAGAUGGAGAAUGGCAUUGGCAAAAAAAAACGUCAAUAAAAGUCAGAAGUUAGUUGGAUAAAAAGAUUGUGUUCCUGUUGACACCGGCUGCGCGAAUCACCACACUUGGGAGUUCAUUAUUCUGGAGGAGAAGCAGAUUGCAGUCGACUUCAAAAUGUUCUGUACACUCCGGAAUGACUGAUGUGGAACAAACGGAACGGUUGUUGACACUACGGGUGCGCAUUAAAAGGAGCGGACUGCUACCACCUAAUGCGCCAUUACUUCCCCUGG
This is a long non-coding RNA of Daphnia carinata, 391 nucleotides long. RefSeq lists it as uncharacterized. The record is from RefSeq and is a predicted model, not a curated record. The transcript is spliced from 3 exons. Lineage: Eukaryota; Metazoa; Arthropoda; Branchiopoda; Diplostraca; Daphniidae.